UCGCACGAGAAAGGGGCUUCGGCUCUGAGUAAAGUGGCGCACGGGUGAGUAACACGUGAAUGAUCUACCUCCGAGUGGGGAAUAACUGAGAGAAAUCUUAGCUAAUACCGCAUAACACUUACGAGUCAAAGCAGCAAUGUGCUUGGAGAGGAGUUCGCGGCCGAUUAGUUAGUUGGCGGGGUAAUGGCCCACCAAGACGAUGAUCGGUAUCCGGCCUGAGAGGGCGCACGGACACACUGGAACUGAAACACGGUCCAGACUCCUACGGGAGGCAGCAGUGGGGAAUUUUGCGCAAUGGGGGAAACCCUGACGCAGCAACGCCGCGUGGAGGAUGAAAUCCCUUGGGAUGUAAACUCCUUUCGAUAGGGAAGAUAAUGACGGUACCUAUAGAAGAAGCCCCAGCUAACUUCGUGCCAGCAGCCGCGGUAAUACGAGGGGGGCAAGCGUUGUUCGGAAUUAUUGGGCGUAAAGGGCGCGUAGGCGGUUUGACAAGCCUGAUGUGAAAUCUCUGGGCUCAACCCAGAGUCUGCAUUAGAAACUGUCGGGCUUGAGUAUGGGAGAGGUGAGUGGAAUUUCCGGUGUAGCGGUGAAAUGCGUAGAUAUCGGAAGGAACACCUGUGGCGAAAGCGGCUCACUGGACCAUAACUGACGCUGAGGCGCGAAAGCUAGGGGAGCAAACAGGAUUAGAUACCCUGGUAGUCCUAGCCCUAAACGAUGAUUGCUUGAUGUG
Molecule: ribosomal RNA, 730 nt
Filed under: uncultured bacterium
Lineage: Bacteria
Description: bacterial SSU rRNA
Rfam family: Bacterial small subunit ribosomal RNA
Source: RNAcentral